This 69-nucleotide transfer RNA is filed under the name Bos taurus (domestic cattle). It matches the Rfam family "tRNA". Rfam says of the family: Transfer RNA (tRNA) molecules are approximately 80 nucleotides in length. Their secondary structure includes four short double-helical elements and three loops (D, anti-codon, and T loops). The record is from Rfam by way of RNAcentral. Lineage: Eukaryota; Metazoa; Chordata; Mammalia; Artiodactyla; Bovidae.
CCUGAUGGCUUAGACGGUAAAGCGUCUGCCUACAAUGUGGAAGACCAGGGUUCAAUCCCUGGAUCAGGA